Equus caballus (horse) is the source of this 7881-nucleotide long non-coding RNA. The record is from Ensembl. NCBI's taxonomy places the organism in Eukaryota, Metazoa, Chordata, Mammalia, Perissodactyla, Equidae.
CCAAGCCAGCACUGUUUAAGGUCCACACAGGCCAGCAACGAUGUGGGCCUUACCUGCUUCUCCAGCUGCAUCUGGAACCAGGCAUCCCCUGAGCUUGAACCCCAGCUACACAGAGCUACUUGCAUUUUUUAACACCUCCUCACUGCCUCAUGGAUCCGUGGAUCCUGUCCAUUUAAUCGCCCACUGCACGUCCACCGCCCACUGCAGUGGACUCAGCAGUGAAUGAGACAGACGCAAUCCCCACCCUCACUGCCUUUCUUCCCGAGACCGUCCUUCUCCCAGGGGCUCCUUUACCCCACCCAGGCUCGCCUCCGGGAACUCCCCGCGAGCCCUCAGCUGACUCGCUCCCUCUCAGCUCCGAGCCAGCGCUGCAGGGAGGGCAGCGGGGAGCCCUGUUGGGGGAGCCGGUGGGGCUCGGCCUGGCUCUCGCUGGGAGACUUCAGCGAGUCCUGGAACCUUUAACUGCAACUCCCUCGCGGCAGGUUUGCUUUGGCUUGUUGUGGUUUCUCUCUUUUGCCGCUCACUUCUAUCAACACCCUUAUUUCUUGGGAGGCACUUUGCAAGAGACCCGAAGGCAGACAAGCGCCCUGACUCCACGAGCUUACAGCCUGAGCGCGGAGACCCCUCACAGGGGACAGCUCUUCAAAGCAGCAAAAAUCCAUUAUAACGGAGGUAGGAACAAGGUGCUAUGGAGCAGAGGGAGGAGAAAAUGGAGUCUGUCUGGGGAGGUCUCGAGGCUUUGGAAAAGCGGGAAUAUUUGAGUUGGGUCUUGAAGAUGUGACUGUGGGGAGCGUUCCUGUAGGCAGGCGGAGGGCAGGCGCGUCAGCAAGGCAUGUUAGCAGCCCAAGUAGGGUGAACAGGUGUUCACACGGGUGGAGGGCAUAGUGGAGGGAAGAUGGAGAUGACAGGCUGGGGUCGUAUGGAGGAGCACCUCGCAGGCGGCGCCGAGGCUCUGAAGACCGUCAGCAGGGGAGUGGCGUGAUUAACCCUGUGCUUGACACAGGGCCAGCCAGGAGGCCGGAGAGAGUGAGGGACCAUGGCAAUAGUCCAGGCCAGGAGAGCUAAUGAGGUCGCCACUAGGGCAGUGUCUGUGGCAAGGAGAGCUGAACGUGUUGCGAGUUCUGCAAAAGCUGAGACCCACUGUGCAGAAAGGGAGAGCCAUCGUGGAGCCGCCCAGCAAACGCUCGAAGACGCGAUCGUGCUCCCCACACUGCGGACUGUUGAGUGGCGUGGUUUCCUCGUCAGACCCAUUGCUCACACGUUUAGUAAUACCAUGGGCCAGGGCGUGUGUGUGAAAACGGCAUGCACAUGCCCAAGGCCAGUGGGGACAAGAGAGGACAAACUUGCCUGCCCUGGGGUUCUCUUCUCUUCUCUUCUUCACGGGGCUGGAGGCUCAUUUGCUGGGUCCCAUGGAGGAAGGACACCAGACAUCCGCCUUCUGUCUACACCCCACAGAAACCCAGACAGAGCAACCUAUGCUUCGGUCAUGAAAGAGGGGAGAACUUUACUUCUUCCGUGAUUAAAUUAGAUGCAAAAGAUAUGAUUAAUUAUCAGUUGGAGAUUCAUUUUCCCUCUCUCCGAAGAGAUUGCCUUCUGGGAAGUAUGGAAUUAUCCUGGCACUAAGGCAGCUCUGAGAACCCAAGAGCGGGAGAGUUGCAGAGCAGACGCCACAGCAGCUCCUGGCUGUAUGCCCCACAGGCCGCCUGGCAAGCUGGGGUUCUGGCCGAGCCUUGGUGGGCCUCGGCUCCUGUAAUGAAUUCAGUUAGAAGCUCUCGUAGUAAAACUGGCCUCUCUUUUCCAAGGGGAGCAACAGGCUUCGUGUAUGACUCUAUUUGUCCCCAGUUGCUGAAAAUACUCACUACUGCUCCUCAUGUGUAAGACAAGGGUUAGGCUGCCUCAGCAGGGUUCAGCUGCAGAGAACAAAUCCACUGUAGCUUAGUUUUAGCAGGAAGAGAUUUAUUACAAGAUUUUCAGCAGCUUGCAGCAUGAUGUAAGAGGUGAGGAAACACACUCGAGGUUCAGCAAUGACUCCUAAAGCCACACCUCAGAGCUGGGCCACCGAGGAAGCUGCGGCCUCUCCUCCGACUUGGAAGCUUCCGUGGUGGCCUGGAUCUGACCUCUUUUCUGCCUCCAUCAGCCCUGAGACCAUAACUUCUCUCCUGGUUCCGUACCUGAACCACACUGUUGCAGUCCGCUGCAGUAAACAGAUGCCCUAGAGCCCACGUAGUCACUCUCUCCCAGCCACUGGUUAGUCUUGGGCCCUCUGCCGAACAGACACCCCCCACAACUGUGCCUGCCAGAGCAGCCAGGCGGAGCCCACACCUCGCUUAGGUUCCAGAGCCCACCCACGGGUGUCAAUCAGCUGAAUAGAAACUAGACUCAGGUCCCUAACUGCAACGAGGCUGCAAAUGGAAAAUCUCACAUUCAGGUUCCGCAGUGCUGGCAGGACAGUGCCGCACACCAGGCCGUGUCCCCACACAGUCCACCGUGAGAUGGGGAGAGAAUAAGACGCUCAGACCUGUUCCCAGACUUAAGAACCAAGGACGUCCUGUCUCGCCAUGAUUCCUUCCCCAGCAUUUGGUCUGGACAAUCUGGUCCUCUCUCCAUCUCACGCAGGGUGUGUAAUGGGACAUCUGUCUUCUGUCCUAUCAGGCACCCGGCUGCGUUCCCUCCCACUUCCUCUACUCAUGAAAGUCUUGCCCAGCCUUCAAAACACAGUUCAGGUCUUCAGUGAAGGCUUCAGCUGCUCUGUCCUCGUGCAGUCUCUCUCCCUGGGCACUGUCCCUUAUGGUCUCCUCCAAGCCACUUAGCAUGUAUGUAACCUCGUGUGUCAGGCUGUUGAUCACCGGGAAAGUGCUUUCUGAAUAAUGAUCCUGACUCUCCAAUUAGAUGGAGAGCUCCUGUGGGAAGAGCUGGGACCAGGUCGCCUGCUCUUCUUAUAUUCCUAACAGUUUCAUAGCUCAGUGCUGAAAGCAGAAAAGCCAUUCAAUUCCUAGGCUCAGAAAAGUCUAUUUCCUACAUCAUAGGAGGGGAUGAUGAUGGCAGCCCUGCUUCCCUGUGUGUGUGUGUGUGGUUGGACUCAAGAUCAAAAAGGUUAAUGUACAGAAAAGGCACUGUGGUCUUUCCUGUUACUGCUACUGAACAGAAUCUGCUCUUAUUACCAAAUCACACUGCAAAUGAGCCUAAGAACGUGGCCGACAAAGCUCGGGUCUUGGGUCUUCCCUUCAGGGCUCCUCUGCCCUGUGGAGACACAACCAGUCUGCCCGUCUCAGGUAAGUAGCUAAAGUGAAGCAUGAAAACGGAAGACAGAAGAUGAGGUACCUAACAUGUGGUUUGGGCUUACUGCAGGAAUUAAUUAUAGUCGGCUCAAACGCAAACUUCUCACUUCCACCCUUCUCCAAAACAAACAGAGUUGGGUAAGCAGGCCAUCCCUGAAGACUUUGAAGCUAAGUUCUCCCCGUCUGAGGAGGGUUGCACGGCAGCCACAAAGGUGGUUAGUCUUGGUGGAAAUGGUCCUGACUGCUCACAAAAGCCAAAGGACCCUAUGGGCUUUGGUCCUCUCAGUUACUCUCCAGGCUAGUUGCAUAUAUAGUUCAGCCAUAUGUGAGGGGGGUGAAUGGUGGCUUCAAGCAAGAGAGAAAAGAAAACAUUAGGAGGUAUUCAAUAUUUCCCCUAGAUCACUCUCCUCACUCCUGAGAAAAGAAAAAGAAGACAAACUGAGUUUUGAUGAGUUUUGUGUCUCUAUCUCCAACAUAAACCCAAAUUCACUCAAAAUCUUUUAAAUCUGCUCUGCAUUUUCAACGGAAAAUAUUUUCCCCAGAGAAGUUGAUGCGAAGUUGCUUAAGAAAGUACGACUGAAAUACACAGAAUGAAAGUUCACGGUUAACGUUGAGAGCAUGUCGGGUAAGACAACUGAGAUGACAUUGCAUCUCAGUCGGGGUUCUCACUGCUGACAAGUCAGGUACCCCAACCACAAGCCCUUUUUCCAUUUCUCUCAUCACUGAUUUACAUUUAGGAGGACAAAAUUGUGACUCCUCAUGAAUUUGAGCUAGAACAGCCAAGCUUUCUUAAAUCUUUCUAUUAAUUGGUCAUUCCUGACUUUUCUAUGCAAAUUCUUAUUUGUAGUAAAUAGCAUCACGGUUUUUCCCACCCCUUGUGUGAUUAAUUGCAGCAAAAUAUUAUGAACCACCAUAUCAGUGGCUCUGAGUAUCAAAAUGCGAAGGACAGGCAGUGACCAGAAAGCUAUUGUCAAUAAUGUUUGAACAGCUGUCCCAAGAAACAACUCUGGCUCAGGAGAUGACAUUUUUUUACAGAAAUGAUAAGGGAGGCUUCAUGGUCCACUCAGUUUUAGUGUUUGGGGUAGAAGAGUGAUCCUUGAGGCGACAUAGGUUUUGGUGGUAUAACAGCUGGAUCCGAAGUUAGCAAGAGGGAGGCCAUCUUAGAGAAAGAAGCAACAUUGUAACUCUGCCUCUGACUCACUGGUGUCUGUGGAUACAUUCUAGCCUGCACGUAGCACCGAUGAUUAAGCACCUCUUACUUUAACAAAAUACAUCAUCUGCUAGUCCUAUGACUCUUGCUUACUUAUAUUUCCUAACUGUGAUAAGACAAUAACUUUGUUCUCUGAGUUCCCCAGGAACAUGACGACCUCCAUAAAGAAAAUUCUGCUUUGGUGUCCAUCAAAAAUGACAGAAGAAAGAGGUAAUGUGGCGCCUUGAAGUUUAUCACACAGGAUGGUCAACAUCCCUAACCCCCCUCCCUCCCUGCCCGUUUCCCCGUAUAACUGCCUCAAGAUUCUGCAUGCUGGUUCUUUGGGACACGAGUCCACCAUCUUCCAGUUCUGCUGGCUAAUCGUAUAAACUUUCCUUUCUCCACCACCAGCUUGUUUGCAAUGGAUUGGCACUGGAUUGCCGCAAGCAGAACGAGCCCCUUUUUGCUCAGUUACAGUAGUUCUAAAAAAUAUUCCAUACCAAAAACUUUGGCCUGUGGAUGCUUAUAGAACUUUAAGACAUACAGCGCCCAGUGCAGGCAUUUGUGUACUAGAAAGGAUUACUACUGAGUCAUGAAACGGUCACACGGCAGUUUCAGCCUUCUCUACUGGCUUGAGAGUUUGGUAUGAAGGAGAAAGUUGAUAGCUUUCCGUUGAAGCGCAUUUUUACUUUUCAUCUGGGUCAUAUCCUUUUUUGCCUCCCCAACUCAACUCUCACCCCUAUAGGUAGUUUUUACACUUUUCAGUGUUGGUCCUUGCAAAGCAGUUGCAGAUAAGACACAAGGUUUAAGGCAUAGAUUUGGUAUAAAUCUUCAGCUGCCUUAAAGCAUGAAAGGAGUUGUUUCCCUGACCUGCACUUAUUGAACUAGAUGAUCCACAGCCCAGUGUUGAACAACUGAAGCCCUACUGACUUAUUUUAAAUGACAAGAUGUCAUGGAAAAAAUGGCCAAGAUUUCCUGAAUAGCAUAUCUUUUGUAGAAAGAGUAAUAUUUCCUAGAAGCGCUGAAGUUGCAUAGUUGACAAGCGUAGGAAAAAUGAAAUCUAAGCAUCAAUUAGUGCAAAAGAGAAGAGGAAAGACUCUUCUAGGAACUGUUAAGAAAAUGAUGAGAUUAGCCACAGACUGGGAGAAAAUAUUUUCAGUACACAUUAUCUUCCAAAGGACUUCUAUCCAAAAUACAUAAAAAAAAACUAUAAAUCCAUGAUAACAAGCAAUCCAUUAAAAAUAGAAUGAAUGACUUGAACAGAAUUUCACUUAAGAUAUAUGUAUCACCAAAAAGCACAAGAACAGAUCUUAACAUCAUCAUCAGAAACGUUGAAAUGAAAUCACAUUCAGGUAGCUUCACAUCCAUUAAAAUGGCUCAGAUUAAAAGACCAAUUAUGUGAAGUAUUGGCCAAGAUGUAGAGCAACUAAAGCUCUCAUAUACUGCUGGCAGAAAUAGCAACUGGUAUAAUCACAUCGGAAAACAGAUUGGCUAUUUCUUUCUUUCUUUUUUUUUUUUUUCUGCUUUAUAUCCCCAAAUCCCCCGGUACAUAGUUGUCUAUCUUAGUUGCAGGUCCUUCUAGUUGUGGCAUGUGGGACGCCGCCUCAGCAUGGCCUGAUGAGCGGUGCCAUGUCUGUGCCCAGGAUCUGAACUGGCGAAACCCUGGGCCGCCGCAGACUGGCUAUUUCUUAUAAAGUUACACACAAACUUACAAUAUGACUCAACAAUUCCUUUUUUAAAAAUAGAAAUAAAAACAUAUUUUCACAAAAAGACUUGCACACAAACAUUCAUAGAAGCUUUACUCAAAAAAAGCCAAAACAUAGCAGAAAAAAAAAGAAGUAUUUUUUGUUUUUGUUGAUGGACGAGCAGGUGUCCAUAUGGUGGAAACUUUAUCUACUGCUCAGCAAUAAAAGAAUGAACUCCUGACACACACAAAAGCAGGGAUGAUUCUCAAAACCAUUAUGCUGAGAGCAAAAGAAGCUCGACACAAAGAGCUCACACUGUUUGAAUGCAUUUACAGGAAGUUCCAGAACUGGCAGAACUAACCUGCAAUGACAGAAAUCUCAUGAGCGGCUGCCCGGGGCAGAAGGUUAGCCGGAGGAUCAACAGCGAAAGGCACGGGGAGCUUUCUGUGACAGGGGAAUGUUCUAUGUUUUGAUUGGGAUGUGGCUACAAGGGCACACAUUUGUCAAGACUCACCAAAGUGUGUACUUAAAACAUACGCAUUUUUCUGUGCGCAAAUUAUCCUUCCACAAAGUUGAGUAACAACAACAAAAAAGACUUCCUCAAAAUUAGUCUGUGAAACGGUCUAUCUCUUUCAAGUUAGCAGGUUCUCGUGUGGGCGUGACAGAAAUGAGUUCUGAGAUUUAGUAACUAUCAUGAAAAUCUUGAACAGCAGCCAUUUUUAUCUGGUUUUAAUGUACUCAUAUUGCAAGUCAGGAACUUAUUUUGAUUUUUCAACAGAUUCCAGAUUUAACUUUAGAAGCACUUUCAAGCAUGAUUUUAAAGUUUCCAUGUAGCACUGCUGUGCCUCUGAGGAACUGUUGAUUCUGUGUUAUGGGCAUUUUAAAAUGUUAAAAGGGUAUUCUAAAAAGGAAAAAAAGAAAAAUUCAGGACUUCACAUUCUAGAGUUUGUGUGCAUUGUCACUUUUGCCUCAAUUUACUUUGUAUUUUCAAAUUGAAACAAUGCCUUGAAAAUAUCUACAAAUGCCUGUUAACAGGCUGUCAUAAACAUGUUUUUUAAAAGAAAGAACUAAGAAUAUCAAUCAAAUCUCUUGAUCACGCCCUCGUCAAAUCAGACUCAGGCACAUCCUGCCAUCUGUGCUCCUUUCUUUUCCUGCCCUUUCAUCACUAAGCAAGAAGCUAGUCAAUCCAGAAAGGGUGUAACACGUUUUUGUAAAAAUUUCAUCUUAUUACUUCAUCAACCCUCACAAAUCACUCCCAAGAUAAAUAUGGCUAGGAAUUAUGGAAAAGUUAAUUAUGAAAAGGUAACCAUGGCAAGGAAAUUCUCAGGGGGCUUAAGGGACAAUUCUUAGGUGUCUGUGGCUGUGACUCAGCCUUGGUUAUAGAAGUACCUGCUUGGCUCCACGACAGAUGUGUCUGUGCACUGUGGACAGGGACCUCCCCUUUCCACUCUCUUCCAGCCACUGCCGUCUUACCAGGCAGCCCAUUGGACAAAUGGACCACGCACAUUCUGAUGGACAGAUAUGAGGCUCAAUAAAGUUAAUGUCAGUGACAAGAAAGAUAGAAUAGAAAUCAAAUGUCCGAGUCCAGAUGGCCGAGUUAAAACAGAAACAAUCCUAUUGUUUAUUUCCCAGUGAAAAAUUUACCCACAGUGUGGUAUGCCCAGCAUUCCUGGAUAUUGCUGGAGAUCUUCGGCAGUGUGUGCCAAGAUUUCUAAAAGUUCUAUUUGUG